RNAcentral lists this long non-coding RNA (1399 nucleotides) under Scleropages formosus (Asian bonytongue). RNAcentral's name for it is "lncRNA (ENSSFOG00015031916.1)". The record is from RNAcentral. Lineage: Eukaryota; Metazoa; Chordata; Actinopteri; Osteoglossiformes; Osteoglossidae.
CAGACAGCGCAUUUUUCCAUCCGGUAAGGCCCGAGUACUUUUGUAGAGGAGAGACUGAACGUAAAAUUUAAAAAAAAAAAAAAAGCUUGUCUUGGGUCGUUGAAUGAAGAUCAAAUCUUGUGGGGACUAGUAAGACGCAAGUAAGAGCAUCAAUGAAUCACGAUUUUGCUUCCCUCCUUUAACUCAAAUUGACAGGAAGCACAAAACAAAAGCUGGCAGCUCCUGGAGGGGGGGCUCGGAAAAUGAUCUCAUUCCUAUGAACGCAGAGAAAAGUCAAGAAAAUGAUGCAGAAACGCAGCAUGAAAACAAGAAGCGAAACAGGACAUCACUGGAAUCGCCACCCUUCUUGAGUACGGAAGACAAUUACACCUCUGCUGUGAAAAGGACAUUGCUGGAAUCACCACCCUUCUUGAGCAGCAGUAACGGGUCACAAUCGUAACAAUGUUAGUUCCUGUACUGUCUAUUCCACCUUGUUUAAAACAGUAUUUCAACUUCUCAGCCUUCUGACCAAGGAUAAAGUUCUGGACAGAGUGCAGAGAUUAGAUUGCCAGAGUGCCAUCGACUGCGUGACUGAGUGUGAUUUGGUCGCUGCUGUUAUGGGGGAACCUCUGCCUCCCAGCACACUUUUUUUUUUUUUUGGUCUGGGUAGCACAUGGAGCCCAAGUGCAGCUUUGUCUAGUGAUUUUUCCUAAUUGCUCAGUGUAAGGUCCCUCAAGACAACAGGUUCAAGGAUCCCGACUGAAGAACACCAUCCACUUUCACUGGUGGAACGGGGAUGAUGGUGGUGGGUUUCCUGAGCAGGUUCCCUAACCCUUCGUCCUUGGACUCAUGAGACUUCCAGGUAAGGAAACGGUCUGCAUCACUAUUGACUGAGGAGCUGUAGCAGAGGGUUCGGGAGCCACUCUCCUACUUUACUGAUCCAAAGUGGAGGGAUGACUAACUGUCACUGAGCACAUCUUCAACCCCUUGUCUCCAGCUAUUGAGAGCCUUCUUAGGGAAGUUUGUGUUUAAAGGACGUGAGGACCGGACGGAUGCGGUCGCCAUCUGGAAUGGGCUUGGCUGUUUUCAUGUGCGUCUUCAUGGAUUUUGCACCACACCGGGACUUGGGCGAGGCUGGAGGCUACCAGUUUGAGGGACAGUCUCCCUCCCACCACCUGAGUUUUAGCUGAGGACAUACUGGCAAGGACUAAGGGCAUGAAGUGCCAAAGGUGGCAGGGAAAUAUUUUAAUCUAUUACAUAGUGAUGGUUUGUUUUGGAUGUGCAUUUGGUGUUAACAUCUGGCUAUGCUUUCUAUAAUUUUGAGUCCCUCGUGGAUAAUGUCUCAUGUUAACCAAAAUGUGACUUUUUGUGUAGAACUUUGCAUUUUUUUGAUACUUAAUACUUUUUCCAACUUCAUUAA